GCCUCAUUUACACAUUUAAGAUUGGCUCAUUCUUGUAAUUCAUUGCCAAUUAUAGCCAAACCAUCCCAUACAAACAUAAGCAUACAUAAAUUUGUGGGUCAUAGCCUACUUCAAAGUAAACCUAUUCCCAUGGCCAAAUACAAGGAGAUAUGUAAAUUUUUACAAACCUUCAUAUUGGCAAUUCAAACAACACAUAUCACAAAAUGAACCAAAGCCCUAAGCCAUUGAACAAAAUAAAAGUGCCUAUAUACUAAAGCUAGACUAGUUGAUAGUGUGUUGAGUCUCCAAUCGUCUUCAAAUCUUUACAAGUCAUUAAGCUCUAUAAGACAGGGAAAAGAGAGGGGUAAGCAUUUACAUUCUUAAUAAGCCCGAAUAACUAAAAAGUAAACUUACCGAUUAAUUAGCAUACAACCAUCUUAAGCAAUAAAACCAACAAGAAUAAAAUUGUUUCCCUAUCACAUGCACUCAAUUAACAAGUUAGUCACAAUAAUAAUGUACCAUGUAAUUUGUCUUAGAUGAGCUCAUCAUCCAACAUUUUCAUUUUUAUAUUUCAUGUUAAUCCCGUUGAGUUUCUUGAAAAUAUCAAUGGAUUAUCUAUUUACCGUCAAGUCAUAAAGCGAUCAUCUCAUGUACGCAUUCCUACGAACCUCACAUCUUACGGCAGUAUUACCAGUCAAGGCUAAAAUCCCUCGCAUUGUAAACUCAUAAGGUGAAGUCGGGAUUACCAGUCCAAGCUAAAUCCCUUACAGAGACAAACACCCUAAACGAGCUCGGAUCUGAAUUACCAAUCCAGGCUAAAUUUAGACCCUAAUCGAAUUACCCAUCCGGGCUAAAUCCUUAAUGCACACAUAUUCUUCGGGAGGCUCGAUCACUCAACGAACACCCGUCCGGGCUAGAUCCUUUCUAUAUUUGAGAUCAACGGAUUACCCGUCCAGGCUAAAUCUUUUCUGCAACACAUGCAGGAUCUCAAGUCAUAUGUAAACAUGGUUCAUCCAUCGAACUUCCUUUUCAACCUCAACCAAAACAAUUACCAACAUGUUAUUAUUAAGAAUGCAUUUCAUAGAUUGUCAUGCCAUCAUCAAAUACAAUUAUCAUACAUUCAUAAAUUAUUCAAUUAAGCAUACAAUGAGUUUACUUUGAGUUAUUCGAACUUAUCUAGUAUUCGUCUCGAUAUCGUGUUUUGGUUAUUCCGAAACCUUUCGUUUUCCUCGAUUGACCUCUGGAAUUUGUUCCUCGGGGUCUAUAACAAUAAAAAUAAAUCAUUAAUACUCACAUUAUAUUUUUUGAGUCUUAAUUUCACCCCUGGUCCAAAUGAUCGUUUUGCCCCUAACAUUUCAUAUUUUUACGAUUUAGUCCCUAAGCUCGUAUAAUGAAAUGCAUGCAAUUUCUACCUUACCCAAGCUUAGCCGAAUGUUUUUCCCUCUUACGAUGGCCUACAUUUUUCCAUUAUAUCUCAUUUCUACCACACAUUUUACAGCUUUUGCAAAAAGGUCCUUUUAGGGGUUUUUCAUGAAAAUCACUUAGGAAAAAGUAUUUAACACACAUCCAACUUUAAUAUUCCUCCAUAAACCAUCAAAAUACAAGUAACUCAUGCAUGAGUAAAUUUCCAAUCAUGAACCCUAGUAUGAAAUAUGGGUAAAAUUAGAGAAAGUAAACUACCAAGGAUUUUAAAAAUACGAAGAAUAUUAAAAACAAGGCUUGUGAGCACUUACUAUUUAACUUGAAAAUGUUGAAAACCCUAGCUAUGGUGGCUUGAGAAUUUCAACUGGACAAGAGAGAAGAAUGGCUAAUUUUUGCCUUCUUUUCCCAUUUUAUUUCAUUAAAAUGCCAAAUGACCAAAAUGCCCUUUAAGCCAUUUCUUUAGAAUUUAAUCCAUACAAGCCCAUUUUUGUUCAAAAACUUAGAAAUUAGGAAAAUUUCUCCCAAAUACCUUUUAAUUUAUAAUCUAAAGCAAUUUCAUACAAAUUGUUUCUAGAAGCUAAGUUUUGAAAUUUAUUCAAUUUGGUCAUUAUUUCCUAUUUAACACAUACUUAUUCUCAUAUUCUAAACCUCAUAAUAAUCAUAAAACAAAUAUUUUAAUGUCAGAUUUAUGGUCCUGAAACUACUAUUCUGACUAGGCCCUAUUUCGAGAUGUUACAUCAAGUAAAUAGGAAAAAAAUAGGUUCUACUGGAAAAAUUAGCUAUGCUGGCUGAAGCCGAUAGAGAUGAUAAAAAUUUAGCCGAAUUGAUUGACACGAAAAGUUAUUUAAAUUUUGAGAUUGAGAAAGAUGAACGUUAUUGGGAGUAAAGGGCUAGACUAAAUUGGCUGAAAUUUGGGGAUAAAAAAAUUGCAUUUUUCACAGUCAAACGUCACAGUGCCGAAGGACAAAUUUUAUUCAUAGGUUGUAAAAUGAAGAUGUGAGAGAAAUGGAGGCCUUAUAGGGAAUCGAGGAGGCUGCACGAUCUUAUUUUCUAAAUUUGUUUUCUGUAGUGGAAAGGGGAAAUUAUGACCAUUUGAUGACAGGAAUUGAUCAAUGUGCGCAUCAGGAAGACAAUCGACAACUUACAGCACCAUACACAAAAGAGGAGAUUCAAGAAGCAGUGUUUGCCAUGAGACUCACAAAGGCACCAGGGGAAGAUGGAUUACCAGGCCUUUUUUAUCAGAAAUGUUGGCACAUUAUUGGAGAGGAAGUCACCUCUUUUUGUUUACAACUUUUGAAUGGGGACAUGGAGGUGAGUUUAAUUAAUUCUACUAAUAUAGUGCUUAUUUCGAAAGUUUCCAAUCCUUCUAAUAUGAUGGAGUUUAGGCCAAUUAGUUUAUGCAAUGUACUUUAAAAAAUUUUGGCUAAGGUAAUCGCAAAUCGAUUUAGAGGAGUUAUUGAAAAAUGUAUUGAUGGUGCGCAGAGUGCCUUUGUGCCAGGACGAUUAAUAUCAGACAAUGUCUUAUUAGCCUAUGAAAUAUUGCAUAUGCUAAAACAUAAGAGAUCGGGGAAGAAAGGAUAUAUGGCAGUUAAACUCAACAUGAGUAAAACAUAUGAUAAGGUCGAAUGGAAUUUUAUAAGAGAGAUAAUGAUACAAAUGGGAUUUGAUCAAAAAUGGGUUGAUGCUCUUAUGAAAUGUGUAACUACUGUUUCUUAUUCAGUGGUCAUUAAUGGGCAUAUUGGAUAAAAGUUUCUACCCACAAUAGGUCUUAGAUAGGGCGAUCCUCUAAGCCCGUUUCUCUUUCUUUUAUGUGGAGGUCUUUCGGGCUUAUUAAGACUUGCAACAAAUGAGAGGUUUUUCAAAGGUGUUAAGGUUGUAGAAGCGGUCCACUGAUUUCCCACCUUCUAUUUGCCGAUGAUUGUAUUUUAUUUGGAGAUGCUACAACCAAUGGAGCACACUUAUUCAAGGACAUCUUACGUGAAUAUAGAUCGUCUUCGGGUUAAUGCGUGAACUUUGACAAAUCAACAGUAUUUUUUAGUAGGAAUACUACGGAGAAAGAUAGAAGAUUAGUUGUCAACUUACUGGGGGUUCACAACUCGAAUUAACCAGAAAGAUACCUACGGUAGCCCAGUAUGGUGGGUCAGAGGAAAAAAUAAUCUUUUCAAAAUCUGAAGGAUUGACUCAAAAACCGAAUUGAUAAUUGGAGUAAUAGGUUCUUAUCUCAGGGUGGAAAAGAAAUUUUUAUAAAGGCCAUUCUUCAAGCUAUACCUACUUAUAUGAUGGCUUGUUUUUUAUUACCUAAAGCUUUAUGUGAUGAACUUGAAAGUAUUCAUUGUGAGUUUCUGGUGGCAGAAGGGACAUGGAAAAAAAGUAUCCAUUGGUGCGUUUGGAAAAACCUUUGUUUUUUGAACGAAAAUAGUGGAUUAGGUUUUCGAAAUUAUGGUCAAUUCAAUAUUGCGUUAUUAGCCAAACAAGGCUGGCGUCUUAUUAAUUAUCCAAAUUCAUCGUUGGCUAGAGUUUUAAAAGUAAAAUACUAUCUGCGAUCAAAUUUUCUAAAUGCAGAGUUGGGGAAUUUACCUUUUACUUACCUAGAAGAGUAUUUGGGCUGUAAAGGGACUAAUCCAAAGAGGGCUAUGCUGGAGAGUGGGCAGAGGGGAUAACAUUUCAGUCCGGGAUGAUAGCUGGGUUCAGGGGAUCGACAAAGUUGAAGGAAACAACAGACCAGAAAAUGAGGAGCUAUAGUUAGUUUCGGAUCUCAUUAACAUUCCGAACAAAAAGUGGAAGACGGAUUUGAUUUACAAUACCUUUUCAGCAGAAAUUACGAAGAAAAUUUCACAGAUCCCACUUACAGAGACGGACCAUGAAGAUAUUCAAGUCUGGAAAGGAGAACCGUUCGGGGAAUUUUUAGUUCACAGCGCCUAUAAACUAUUACAAGGGGCUAAUCCGGAUCCUAGUAAUUUCUUAAUACAAACCGAAAUUACAGAUUUCUACAAAAAAUUAUAGGGUUUACAACUUCCUUCAAAAAUCACUAUAAUUAUUUGGCGAAUCUCUUGGGAUUUCAUCCAUCAUCUAGCUAAUCUCAGAUAUAGAAGAGUUUCUGCAAGUGACAGAUGUCCUCGUUGCCGUUAUUGAGUUGAAGAUAGUCCUCAUAUUUUUCGUCAAUGCCCUGUAUCAACAGAAGUGUGGCAUUUUUUACAUCUAUCUUGGGUUAUAAACAAUAUGAAUCAAACUAUAUGGGAGUGGCUUACCUGGGUUUUCAAGAGAGGAACUGCGGAACAAUGUCGCCUUUUCUGUAUUACUUUAUGGCUAAUCUGGUUUUCCAGAAAUCAGCUCAUUCACGAGAGGAAGGAAACAUGUAGAGAACUUGCUCAUCAAAUAUAGGGGUAUAUGGCAGAAAAUGAAGGGGUAAGAGAAACUCCAAAUCCUUUUAAUACAAACAAGAAUCACAAAGGUCAGGAGGACAUACCGAGAAUAACGAUCCAGUUUGAUGCAGCGUUCGACAUUCGAAACUUCAAAUUAGCAACAUGCUUGGUGGUUUAGGGCCUGACGGGCGAGCUCCUGGUCUUAAAAUCGACCCUUCACAAUAAUGUUUCUUCCCCGUUCGCAGCAGAAGCGUUUGCAUGUUUGGAAGGCAUAAAGUUAGGGAUAUCAAUGGGUAUACAAUCGGUUAAAAUCAUGGGGGAUUCUAGAACAAUAAUUAAAAAAUGUCAAACAUCUUCAAUAGAUAAAUCAGAGAUUCGAGCGAUCAUAAAAGACAUUCAGAACAAGAAAUUUUAUUUUCAAGAGAUUACCUUUCAGCAUAUUCAUAGAUCAGGGAACUCGCAAGCACACAGAUUCGCAAAGAAUACUCUAGAUAGAGGAGAGAUCUCUUACCUAGUGGGAGAGGAGUUGAAUCGGCAUCCUUCCGACUUGGAGGGAAGAUGGUCAAGAAGACCAGAUAGAAGAAGGAGAUGAGGAAUCUGAUUUCAAAAGUGAUAGCAAAUAAAAGCUUUAUUCUUGAUAAUAGCUAUUGUCAGAACGGAUGGGUGCUUUGAAAUGACAAAUCAAUGAAUGGUAAUGGAGGCCAGCCGUUUGAAUGGACUGGGUAGAUAUUUAGUUUCCUGUUUUCCGUCAGAAUCAUUUAAUGCUUUUUGUUUCCUUUAAGUUAUGUUUAUUUU
RNAcentral lists this long non-coding RNA (5558 nucleotides) under Gossypium barbadense (sea-island cotton). Its description in RNAcentral is "long non-coding RNA (GBAR_LNC004501)". Lineage: Eukaryota; Viridiplantae; Streptophyta; Magnoliopsida; Malvales; Malvaceae. The record is from RNAcentral.